Molecule: ribosomal RNA, 775 nt
Filed under: uncultured Neocallimastigales
Lineage: Eukaryota; Fungi; Neocallimastigomycota; Neocallimastigomycetes; Neocallimastigales
Description: partial large subunit ribosomal RNA
Rfam family: Eukaryotic large subunit ribosomal RNA
Source: RNAcentral
AGAGAGAGACAUGCGCGCAUAUCAAUAAGCGGAGGAAAAGAAACUAACAAGGAUUCCCUUAGUAACAGGCGAGUGAAGCGGGAAGAGCUCAAAUUUGAAAUCUUCAAGGUUCUACCUUGACGAAUUGUAGUUUAUAGAAGUGUUUUCUGUUAGUGGAGUGGCAAAAGUUCUUUGGAAUAGGACAUCAUAGAGGGUGAGAAUCCCGUAUUUGGUCAUUCCUCCUAGCGUUGUGAUACACUUUCAACGAGUCGGAUUGUUUGGGAAUGCAGUCCAAAAUGGGUGGUAAAUUUCAUCUAAAGCUAAAUAUUGGCGAGAGACCGAUAGCGAACAAGUACCGUGAGGGAAAGAUGAAAAGAACUUUGAAAAGAGAGUUAAACAGCACGUGAAAUUGUCAAAAGGGAAGCGUUUGACACCAGUGUUGUUUUUCCGAAAAUCAAUUACGAAUGUUUUAUUUUUGAGGAGUUAUGACUUCAUCGGCUUGCUCCUUUCUUUAUGAAACUUUCUUAAUGCACUUUUCGGUUAACAAGUCAACAUCAAUUUCUUUUGUUGUAAAAGGGUAUGAGGAAGGUGGCUUUCUUUUCGGAGAAAGUGUUUAUAGCCUUGUGCCUCUGCAAUCGGAGAGAUUGAGGUCUGCAGCGUAGAUCCUUCGGGGUUAGAUACGUUUGUGCUAAGUUAUAGCUUUUCAUAGACAACUUGUUGACUAUGUUUAGUCUUGUAGCUUACUCGCUGACGCUAUUUUACCUACGCUUAGGAUGUUGAUAGUCACAGCGUGUAC